GCUGUUUUCCUUAUAGUUGCCUCUCACCUUCUCAGCGGCUGUGCGUGCACUCAUCUCUUGCAGUCACAUCACUUCGCCUUCCCACUCAUCUGCUCUGUGCCCUGGCUGCAGUGGUGCAGGGAAGCUUGAAAGGAAAGCACAAUGAAGAGCAGUUUUUGUUUGCCUGUCUGGUCUGCUGCAUGCCACACCUGGAAGGCCCAGCACAUUUCAAAUGUAUGUUUAAAGCUGAACGAAGUGCUGAUUUUCUGUCCACCUUUAUGAAUCAGUUCAACAUUAAAAGCCUGAUUCCUCCAAAGACCAAGCUCCUUAUGUCUGUGUAUGAUCUUAACCUCCUUGCAGCUAUACCCACAUCUAGAAUAGGGAAAGCUGUGCGGAAAGAAAACCAACUGGCCAACUGCUGAACUUCAUUCCACAUGCCAGAUCUCCAGAAUAACUGCACAGGAAGACUUCAGUUCUUCAGCAAGUUAUGGCCAACAGGGGAAUGAAGAUGACAACGUGCUUCUGGAGCACUGUGAAUGAGCA
RNAcentral lists this long non-coding RNA (522 nucleotides) under Gallus gallus (chicken). Its description in RNAcentral is "lncRNA (ENSGALG00010013985.1)". The record is from RNAcentral. Lineage: Eukaryota; Metazoa; Chordata; Aves; Galliformes; Phasianidae.